This is a long non-coding RNA of Oncorhynchus tshawytscha (Chinook salmon), 1603 nucleotides long. NCBI's taxonomy places the organism in Eukaryota, Metazoa, Chordata, Actinopteri, Salmoniformes, Salmonidae. The record is from Ensembl.
CCAGCUGGGACCACCCAUGUCGAAAAUAUAUGCAGGAAAGUCGCUUUGUGUAAAAGUGUCAGCUAAAUGUUAUAUAUUACACAAUUAAGCUUUUAAAAUGGUUGUUCUCCACCCAAAAUCGGAUGUGAUUAAAUGGUGUGUGUUUGCAGAUGGGGAUUGCUAGGAGAACACACUGGUGUAAAAAAAUAAAGUCACUAUUUGUGGCAACAUGUGAUAACUUUCUUGUUAUGGAGUUUUUAAGCUUCUGGGAAGACCUCAUAACUUUCAGUUUCAGAGAGGCACCUCUGACUACAAGGAAGUGACUCAGACAUUUAGAAUGCUGAUGAUCCUCUCUCCAGUGGUAAACAGUAAGAGCUUAUGUUAACAUUAUAAAUCACCUGAUUGACUUUGUUUGAAGUGAGAUAGAGUGUCUAUUUUUGUUAUAUUGUUUAGUAAAUGAAACCUGUAUUAGUGACUGUAUUAUCAUCACACCAGCAGUCAUGAGUCAAGACAGCAGUAAAAUUCCACGUCACUGUAAUCUCCUGUUAUGCACUCUGGACAUGCUUUGGUAGAAUCCAAAUAGCUAACUACCAUCAGGUCCUAAUGGCCUUGUACUCAGGGCUCUGUUGUCCCUCCAUCAGGUCCUAAUGGCCUGUUACUCAGUGCUCUAGUGUCCCUCCAUCAGGUCCUAAUGGCCUGGUACUCAGGGCUCUAGUGUCCCUCCAUCAGGCCCUAAUGGCCUGGUACUCAGGGCUCUAGUGUCCCUCCAUCAGGUCCUAAUGGCCUGGUACUCAGGGCACUAGUGUCCCUCCAUCAGGUCCUAAUGGCCUGGUACUCAGGGCACUAGUGUCCCUCCAUCAGGUCCUAAUGGCCUGGUACUCAGUGCUCUAGUGUCCCUCCAUCAGGUCCUAAUGGCCUGGUACUCAGGGCUCUAGUGUCCCUCCAUCAGGUCCUAAUGGCCUGGUACUCAGGGCUCUAGUGUCCCUCCAUCAGGUCCUAAUGGCCUGGUACUCAGGGCUCUAUUGUCCCUCCAUCAGAUCCUAAUGGCGUGGUACUCAGGGCUCUAGUGUCCCUCCAUCAGAUCCUAAUGACCUGUCGCGCAGCAAGAACAUGGUCCUCAAACAAUGGUCGAUGCGUGGAGUGUGUUCUUAUAUUGCGUGAAAAGUGUUCCUAUAUUUAGUUCUUAGCAGAUGCUCCUCUAUAAAACCCAAGUAUCCGACACAUCAUCGAAACACCAACCAGUGGGAAAGCGCGUGGUCUCUGUUUAUAUAUGUUUAUUCUACCAGGCAAGUCAGUUAAGAACAAGUUCCUAUUUUCAAUGACGGCCUAGGAACAGUGGGUUAACUGCCUGUUCAGGGACAGAAUGACAGAUUUAUAUCUUGUCAACUUGGGUAAACCGUUACGGUUAUUGGCCCAACGCUCUAACCACUAGGCUACCUGCUGGUUAUUGGCCCAACGCUCUAACCACUAGGCUACCUGCUGGUUAUUGGCCCAACUCUCUAACCACUAGGCUACCUGCUGGUUACUGGCCCAACGCUCUAACCACUAGGCUACCUGCUGGUUAUUGGCCCAACUCUCUAACCACUAGGCUACCUGCUGGUUACUGGCCCAACGCUCUAACCAC